CUGUUGGAUGAUGAGGACAUGAUGUCCUAUAUUCUGGCGGGGUCGAUGAGGACUUCGAGCCGGUCAUUUCCUCUCUGGUUGGGCGAUCAGAGAUGGUCUCCAUCAACGAGAUCUACUCUCAGUUGCUUAGCUUUUAGA
Molecule: small nucleolar RNA, 138 nt
Filed under: Leersia perrieri
Lineage: Eukaryota; Viridiplantae; Streptophyta; Magnoliopsida; Poales; Poaceae
Description: snoRNA snoZ247
Rfam family: Small nucleolar RNA Z247
About the family: Z247 is a member of the C/D class of snoRNA which contain the C (UGAUGA) and D (CUGA) box motifs. Most of the members of the box C/D family function in directing site-specific 2'-O-methylation of substrate RNAs.
Source: Rfam by way of RNAcentral